UGGAAAUUGUUUGAUGCUGAAUGUCAAUGGAAAAUAUGAUUUGAUAUGCAAGAAGAGAAAUAAACACAAGAUGCAUAAAACAAUUAAAUCCACGACUAAAGAUGUAUAAAGCUGCACGUCUGCAGGUCAUUCUUUCAUUAAUAACCAGCUCCUACAUGUGGCUCCCUGUGCAGUUUGAUGAUGUUAUGUCGUACCUGCUGUCUCAGGUGUCGGACCAGCUGGUGGAGAUAAACGGAGACAGUACAUCAGGGAUGACUCACAGUCAGGCUGUGGAGCAGAUCAGGAGAGGAGGACAUCGAAUCCACCUCGUCCUCAAGAAAGGAAACGGAUACGUGCCCGACUACGGCCCUGAGGAAGGAGCCCUCUCCCCCUCCUCCUCUUCACACACAGAGGAGCAAGAUGUGAAAACAGUAACCAUGACAACCGCCUCCCUCAGCCAGCAGAGGGGAGGAGGCGGUGGUACGGGAGGAGGAGAAGGAGGAGAGAGGAGGAGGACAAGGAGAGAGGGAGAAACCAAACGAAGAACAGGAGGAAGAGGAGGGUUAGGGCCUCCUGAUCUGGACCUAGACGUAGUGGAGGAGGAGGCACGGGAGGAGGAGGAGGAGGAGGAGAGAAGGAAAAGAAGCCAGACUGUCAGGCCAAAGGAGAAGCGGGACAACCAGAGGGAGCAGGGGAGGAGGAGCAGGAGUUUACCCAGGAUCAGUGCUCGAUCUUGGGAUAUGUUGCUGCCGCAGGAGGAGGUGGAGGUGGAGGAAUCUGGAGGAAUGAAGGAGAGAAGGAGGAGCGAGACUAAGAGCAGGAGGAGAGCGACAAACGAGGAGGAGAGGAGGGUGGAGAGAGACGACAGGACCACCCGCCACGCAAAGCCUUCUGGGAGCUCAGGUGCGCCGUUCUCCUUCCUUAUGCCGAUUGACGACGACGACGAUGACGACGACGACGAGCGUCAGCGUCUGUCCGACAGCGAAUCAACAACCAGCAUCGCAACAGCGGAGUGGAGGGAGGAGGAUUCUGAUUGGAGGAGAGCCGAGGGGAAGGCCCCGGGCCCCUGGCUGAAGCCGAGCCCGAAGAGAUUGACGAAGGUUCUGAUUGGCAGUCGGCUCGGUGGGCGGGAACUAUUGGGCGGGCUCUCUCUCUGAUUGGCUCACAGCGAGGACGUUUUUUUAUUCGCUGAUUUUCUUCUCUCUUUUUUUUGGCUACUUAUAAGGGCUUUCUUGAUUGGCCUACUGAGAGGAGACCCGCCUCUUCCUGCUUCUUAUUGGAUGACAAGAAGUUUCUGAUUGGAAGAUAAUAAGCAAGCUGUCAAGGACUUGUAUUUGAUUGGCUGGUGGGCGGGUUUUGAGGCCUCCUGAUUGGCCACUGACAUAACAGCUGCACACACGGCUGCCAAAUUCACCAACAAUGUUAUUUUUCAUUUUACCCAUCAUCCCUCAGUGCAUCCUGAGACCUGUAUCACGAAGCCGUUAUUAUUAGUGCGUUAUCCGGCUCUCGACGCUGGUGCACUUUUAAAUCACCAUGGUAACGGGGGUAAAUCACCACGGUAACGGUGGUAAAUCACCAUGGUAACAGUGGUAAAUCACCAUGGUAACAGUUAACCUCAGAGAAUUAGAUAGAAAACCUGUCAACAGCACGACAAUUAACCAAUCAGGAAAAUAUAUUUUUAAUCAAUUUAUAAUAAAAGUGACAAAUAAUAAGCAGCAGCAGAGAUUUCUAUGGGUCAGUAGAAUCUGAUUAUCGUGUCUGAAACGCGGCCCAAGAUGCCACGAGGUGGCUCGGUUCUUUGGGUGAACAGUUGAAAAUAUAAAGAAACAAGAUAUCUACAACAUUUUCAGUCUAAAAGAGACUUUCUUGCACGUUUGCCCAUCGGUUAUGGAAGAAGUUUCAUAUUCAUGUUGUCUGCAGUGAACUAGCGAAGGUAAACUUUUGCGGGGAUUUAGCAAAUGUUCCACCAAAACAAGAUCCCUCCCGAUAUUAGUUUUGAAAGGGCACCAUCGCUGCUUCCUUGGCUGCCCAAGACGAUUGCGAUUGGUUUAAAGAAAAGUAAACAACACUUCCAUUUUCACCUUCGUACAGAUUUAUGAUAGUUCAGCCAGACCUUUGUGUGCGUCACCAAAUGCUCUGCAGGUAGAACCAGACCGUCGCUCUGAACAUCUUCACUGUCAGGCUGCAGGGUUAAUGUUGAUCCACUGUAACUAUGAAUCAUGUGGAAAAGUGUGUAACCAGCUUCACGACACCAGCGAUCAGGAUCCCUGAUGUUGGGUUCCAGAGUGAGAUGAAGUUCUUGUGAUACAGGCCCCGCUCUUCACCUCCAUCAUCCUCCUCAUCAUCAUCCUCCUCCUCCUCAUCAUCCUCCUCUUCCUAACUUUAAACUCGUAUGCAAACAACAUGAGAACCUUUACUGAAGGCGCUGUUCUGUGAUUCUGUGUAAUCUGAGCAUGUGAAUAUCACUGGAAUGAUUUUUUAUUUUUAUAAGCUGAACAUGUAAAAGGCUCAAUGACAUCAUUAGUAUUAAUAUUAUUAUUAUUAGAUAUUAAAUAGAUCAGAGAUGAUCUGGUUUGCCUGCUUGCUUGUAAAAAAAAGAAGAAAAAAAAAACAUUGCCCUGAUGAUGUAACAGAGCCAUAACACACACACGCACACACACACACACACACACACACACACACACACACACAGUUCAGGUCCAGCUGUGGUCCUGUUGGCUGUCAAUUACCAUAACAUCGCCACGGCAACUUGGCCGACAAAGAUGACCCGUUUCUAUAGCAACAGCCACGGUGGAUCAGGACGCUACGACCUGCAGCUCUGGAUCAAAACAAAGUGCCUCAUUUAUUUCAGCCUUCGUCCUGCAGACUGACAGCGAGGCUGCAGGCAGCAGACACCGCCGCCACUUCCUGUUCACAUCCCGCCAUGUCCUGUCUCGUGUCAUCAAACAACGCCAAGACCGGUCACACACCACCGUGCCCCCCCCCCCCCCCAUAGUCUAUGAAAUGAAAGAACAGCCUAAACCGAUUCGUCACUUUAUGCUAAAAAUGUCAGAGAAUUGUGUAAAAUGGGCGUUUAAAUGAUCCAACAGUCAAAAAUCCAAAGAAAGUCAAUUUACGAUCAAAUAUUACACAGAAAAUCAAUAAUUGAUUAAUCUGCCGAUAUUUUUCAAUUAAAUGGAUGAUAGUUUAGUCUAUGAAACGUAAACAAAAUGUAAAGAAUUAGCAUCACAACUUCCAGAGCCAAACGUGACGUCUUUAAAUGUCUCUUUGCUCGACUGAAAGUACCAAAUACUUAAAAACGUUUAGUUUACAAUAAUAUAUGACAAAGAAAAGCAGGAAACCUUCUCAUUUGAGAGGCUGGAAUCAGAGAAUAUUGGAAUUGUUUCACUAUUUCUGCUUGAAAAUGACAAUUAAUCGUUUUCAAAAUAGAAAUAAUAAAAUUAUUUGACUAAACCGAUUCUUCAUUUUACGGUAAUAAAGAGAUCUAACCAAAAUCUAAUUUAUGAUCAAAUAUGACAAAGAAAAGCAUCGAAUCACUGAACAAACUGGAGGCAGGAGAUCAAAUAAUCAAAAGAAUAAUGUUUUAAAGAUGUUUUACAGCAGAUUUAAAACCCGUCUGUUCUCAGCCAAAGAUUGUUUGUGUAGUAAGAAGCUCCACUCUGUACCACCACUGUACAAUCUCAGUGUUUUUGUAGUUUUAACAACUCCAACAGAGUGAGACCUCUUCUCUCAACAUAAUCUCCCUCAUUCAUAUCAGAUCAAUAUUCAGUCUUUGAAUCAAGUAGUUCAUCUGUAUGUCAGAUACACAUUUAAAUCAACAUUUAGGUCGAUAUAAGUAUCUUAUCGGACUCUGAAUCAGCUCAUAAUCCAUAUUAAAAUGACUCGGAUCAGGGCCACCGGGACAUUACUGUAGCUUUAAUGUCUUAGGAGACCAGAUUGUUUCAUUUAAUACACUAAAGCAAAAUGUAGCAUGUAAACUUGACUUAAAAAAAACACAUGAACAUUUCUGGUGAUUUGCCUUGUGAUGCCUCACACGCACACAAUCCCUUAUUCAUCCAUUAAAUCAUGUUUCUUUUACCCGUCUGUCUGUCUGCACACCCUCUGCAGUUACACUACAACUCCCACACACCCUUGCGCUGCCCUUUAGCCCCGCCCCCUCAGCCUGCUUUCUCUAAAAAGGGCAUUUUGGAUCUUUCUUCUUCUAUGCAUUUUCUUAAAAGACUGCCUGGACUCUAACGCUUCUAAUGAUCGAUGGGUCUGAAUAUUCAGGUUCUGGUCCAAAGACGACCAGGAAGGAUUCAAAAGUUCCAUCAUCAGAUCUGCUCUCAGGCAGCAGGAGGGACGUCACGGGGGGGGGGCGUGACACCGAACUGUGUUGGUUUAGUAAAAGUCCAGCAGUCGACUGUAAACACGCAGCUGACUGAAGCAGCUCGAUGGUCUGUCGGUAUAUAUAAAGUAUAUAUUUCUGUCUUUUCUUUAGCUGCAGUUUGACUUCAAAACUCUCUGAGCUGGACACCAGGGUAACUGUUAGCUGUUAGCUCGCUAACUAGCCAGCAGCCUCGUUUAAUCAACAAGAUAAAGAAUGCUAGGCCUGGGCGAUGAAACGAGAGCGGUGUGACAUUUCAUCAAUAGCAAAAAGAAAAUAGUUCCAUAGUUUCACUUGAAUGCUAAGCUAACCGCACAAGACUCUCUAAAAGAAAAGGUAUGAACUAUUCCUUUAACAUGCUAACGCUUAGUAUGCUAGCUGUGUUAGCUGUGAAUUCUUCUUGCCCAAAUUGAGACUUCCUGUCACAGUUAUUGACCUGAACUGAACUGACCUCAUUUUAAAAUUGAGCAGAUUGAGAAAAGAGAGGUAAUUAUCUCUCUAUACUAUCAUAUAGUUAAAUAAUAUAUAUAUAUAUAUAUAUAUAUAUAUAUAUAUAUAUAUAUAUAUAUAUAUAUAUAUAUAUAGAUUAUAUAUUAGAUUAUUAGAUUAUUAUUACUCAUGUGUUAAUGGUAAAGCAGGAUUUUACAUUUUAAACAAUGAAUUUAUGAUUAUUUUCAUUACGGAUUACUAUUGUGUAUUUUAUUUUGUAAAUAAUGAGAAAUGUCAUCACAAUUACCCAAAGUGACACAUUUACCAUGUUAAAUCCAAACUUCAACAAUAUUUCUAAUAAAUUAACAUUAUUAAAAAAGGAAAAUCAGCAAAACUUCAAAUUUGUGAAGCUGGAAUUAUGAAAUGUCUUUAACCAUCAAAAUAGUUGCUGAUUAUUUCUUAGAUACCGUAAGCUUUGAUUAAUCAACCACUAAUGUAAGCUCAAAUGUUAUAAACUGUUGGGUAGUUUAAUAUUUUACAAUGCUUUUAUAUAUUUGCAAAGUAACUAAAGCAGCUGUCAGAUAAAUGCAGUCGAAUGGAAUAAAAAGUACAAUAUUUCCCCCUCAGAUGUAGUGAAGUAGAAAGUUGCAGAAAAUAGAAAUACUCAAAGGACAGCACUUGAAUAAAUGUAUUUAGUAACAAAACAUAGACUUCCUCAGCAGAGCUAUUUAUUAAUAAUAACAAUAACAAUAAAUAAUGAUAAUAAUAUACAAUUAAUAAUUAUAAUAAAUAAGAAAACUGAACAAACAAGAAAUAAAUAAACAGCAGCUGCACAAAGUAAACAAGCCAGCGUGUUGCAACGUAACAGUGGCCUUCGUCACUACGCAACUCACAGCGUACAUACAUGUGCACGUGCGCUGCCGCGCUCACCUGUGUGUCCUCAGGUGCAGCUCGUCUUCAGUCUCUCAGUGUUUCAUCUGACAGGUUUUAAUCCCUCUGAGCUCAGGGGACCGCGCGAUCUUCACCUGUCUCCACGUACACUGUGUGGGUGUGUUUGUUUUGGUCCACUGAGCAUAUCCGCCGGGCGGUGCAUUAUUUAAAUUAAUCUGUGCAGUGGUGGAAGGCAAUGAAGUAACCAAUUUACAAAUUCAUCUAAACUACUUUACUAUUUCAUUUUUAUGUUACAUUUCAGAGGAAAAUAUAUAAUAUAUAUAUAUAUAUAUACAUU
Molecule: long non-coding RNA, 6002 nt
Filed under: Cottoperca gobio
Lineage: Eukaryota; Metazoa; Chordata; Actinopteri; Perciformes; Bovichtidae
Description: lncRNA (ENSCGOG00000011425.1)
Source: RNAcentral